This 439-nucleotide ribosomal RNA is filed under the name uncultured Streptococcus sp. RNAcentral describes it as "bacterial SSU rRNA". It matches the Rfam family "Bacterial small subunit ribosomal RNA", at positions 941 to 1382 of the family's 1533-position model. Lineage: Bacteria; Bacillati; Bacillota; Bacilli; Lactobacillales; Streptococcaceae. The record is from RNAcentral.
GUUGGUUUAAUUCGAAGCAACGACGAAGUACCUUACAGGUCUUGACAUCCGAUGCUAUUUCUAGAGAUAGAAGUUACUUCGGUACAUCGGUGACAGGUGGUGCAUGGUUGUCGUCAGCUCGUGUCGUGAGAUGUCGGGUUAAGUCCCGCAACGAGCGCAACCCCUAUUGUUAGUUGCCAUCAUUCAGUUGGGCACUCUAGCGAGACUGCCGGUAAUAAACCGGAGGAAGGUGGGGAUGACGUCAAAUCAUCAUGCCCCUUAUGACCUGGGCUACACACGUGCUACAAUGGUUGGUACAACGAGUUGCGAGUCGGUGACGGCGAGCUAAUCUCUUAAAGCCAAUCUCAGUUCGGAUUGUAGGCUGCAACUCGCCUACAUGAAGUCGGAAUCGCUAGUAAUCGCGGGUCAGCACGCCGCGGUGAAUACGUUCCCGGGCCUU